GUGGGGAAUAUUGGACAAUGGGCGAAAGCCUGAUCCAGCCAUGCCGCGUGUGUGAAGAAGGUCUUCGGAUUGUAAAGCACUUUAAGUUGGGAGGAAGGGCAGUAAGUUAAUACCUUGCUGUUUUGACGUUACCGACAGAAUAAGCACCGGCUAACUUCGUGCCAGCAGCCGCGGUAAUACGAAGGGUGCAAGCGUUAAUCGGAAUUACUGGGCGUAAAGCGCGCGUAGGUGGUUUUGUAAGUUGGAGGUGAAAUCCCCGGGCUCAACCUGGGAACUGCCUCCAAAACUGCAUGACUAGAGUACGGUAGAGGGUGGUGGAAUUUCCUGUGUAGCGGUGAAAUGCGUAGAUAUAGGAAGGAACACCAGUGGCGAAGGCGACCACCUGGACUGAUACUGACACUGAGGUGCGAAAGCGUGGGGAGCAAACAGGAUUAGAUACCCCAGUAGUCC
RNAcentral lists this ribosomal RNA (450 nucleotides) under uncultured bacterium. Its description in RNAcentral is "partial 16S ribosomal RNA". It matches the Rfam family "Bacterial small subunit ribosomal RNA", at positions 354 to 796 of the family's 1533-position model. The record is from RNAcentral.